The sequence is a small nuclear RNA, 157 nucleotides long. Its record names the gene U1. It matches the Rfam family "U1 spliceosomal RNA". Rfam says of the family: U1 is a small nuclear RNA (snRNA) component of the spliceosome (involved in pre-mRNA splicing). Its 5' end forms complementary base pairs with the 5' splice junction, thus defining the 5' donor site of an intron. The record is from Ensembl.
ACAAUUAGGGGAGAUACCGUGAUCAAGAAGGCGGUUCACCCAAGGCGAGGCUCAGCCAUUGCACUUCGGCUGUGCUGACCCCUGCGAAUUCCCCAAAUGUGGGAAUCUCGACUGCAUAAUUUCUGGUAGUGGGGGACUGCGUUCGCGCUCUCCCCUG